GGAGACUUCGGAGCGACGAGAAGGCAUCAACUUCAAAGAGCUCGGAUCGGCAGAUAUAAUCAAGAUUCAUGGAUUGAUUUCUUCGAUGGUUCUCGGUGAAAUUACGUUUUCUGGAUUUCUUCUUGUAAACCUAAUUGCAAUGUGUUCCUUUGCUGAUUUUGAUUUUGUCUUCAAAGUUAUGAGUAGCUAAACUCUUCAUGCUUAGAUUAGAUGAACCCUAGGUAAUUCCUUAUGAAUAGAUGAUUGUUCGACUUUGACGAUUUAUGCGAGUUGGAUGGAUUUUGAUUUAUGUUUAAUUUUGUUUCCGUUCUUAUUCUUGCUUGGCCGUCGUGAAUAGAACCUUGUUAGAUUUGUCUUCGUCCUGAAAGAGUUUGCAUAUCUAGUACACCAAAAAUAACUAACUCAGUUAGGCAUUAACCCUCAUUCGGGAGCGAAUAAACUAGUCCAUCAUGUGAGCAGUUCUUAUUUGUUUUAUCGCCUAGCGGAUUUCAUAGCUUUAUCUCGAAAGAGUGGACUUGGAUAGUAGAUAGGUAGCUUAUUAUCGGACCCGAAAGGGCGUAAUUUGGUUAGAGAAGAACUGUGAUGAUG
Molecule: long non-coding RNA, 588 nt
Filed under: Linum usitatissimum (flax)
Lineage: Eukaryota; Viridiplantae; Streptophyta; Magnoliopsida; Malpighiales; Linaceae
Description: long non-coding RNA (LUSI_LNC004187)
Source: RNAcentral